Molecule: RNA transcript, 506 nt
Organism: Cebus imitator (Panamanian white-faced capuchin)
Lineage: Eukaryota; Metazoa; Chordata; Mammalia; Primates; Cebidae
Gene name: multifunctional methyltransferase subunit TRM112-like protein
Exons: 2
Source: RefSeq, a predicted model, not a curated record
AUGAAACUGCUCACUCACCAUCUGCUGAGCUCGCAUGUGUGGGGGGUGGGACCCCAUGGCUUCCCCCAGUGCCUCUAGGCUACCGAGGUCCGCUUCUGCCCCAUGGAGUUCAACCCCCAAUUUGUGGCGCCUAUGAUACCCAAAGUGGAAUGGGCGGCGUUCCUGAAGGUGGCUGAUAACUUGCACCUGAUCCAGGUGCCUAAAGGGCCGGUUGAGGGGUAUGAGGAGAAUAAAGAGUUUCUGAGGACCAUGUACCACUUGCUGCUGGAGGUGGAAGUGGUGGAGGGCACCGUGCAGUGCCUGGAGUCUGGACGUAUGUUCUCCAUCAGCCGCGGGAUCCCCAACAUGCUGCUGAGUGAGGACCAAUCUGAGAAUUGAUUGUGCCAGGCGCCAGUUUUUCUUGUUAUGACCGUGUGUAUUUUUGUUGUGUAUACCCUGUUUCCGAGUGCUCUUGAGCUCCAUAGUAUACAUUUUUUUCUCAUUAAAGGUUCAAAACCAAAAAAAAA